RNAcentral lists this transfer RNA (72 nucleotides) under Desmophyllum pertusum. Its description in RNAcentral is "Lophelia pertusa tRNA". It matches the Rfam family "tRNA". Rfam says of the family: Transfer RNA (tRNA) molecules are approximately 80 nucleotides in length. Their secondary structure includes four short double-helical elements and three loops (D, anti-codon, and T loops). The record is from Rfam by way of RNAcentral. Lineage: Eukaryota; Metazoa; Cnidaria; Anthozoa; Scleractinia; Caryophylliidae.
UCUCCUGUAGCUCAGUGGUAGAGCGUCCAACCAGUGUGCAGAAGAUCAUAGGUUUGACUCCUGUUGGGAGAA